UAGGGAAUCUUCCACAAUGGACGCAAGUCUGAUGGAGCAACGCCGCGUGAGUGAAGAAGGUCUUCGGAUCGUAAAGCUCUGUUGUUGGUGAAGAAGGAUAGAGGCAGUAACUGGUCUUUAUUUGACGGUAAUCAACCAGAAAGUCACGGCUAACUACGUGCCAGCAGCCGCGGUAAUACGUAGGUGGCAAGCGUUGUCCGGAUUUAUUGGGCGUAAAGCGAGCGCAGGCGGAAUGAUAAGUCUGAUGUGAAAGCCCACGGCUCAACCGUGGAACUGCAUCGGAAACUGUCAUUCUUGAGUGCAGAAGAGGAGAGUGGAACUCCAUGUGUAGCGGUGGAAUGCGUAGAUAUAUGGAAGAACACCAGUGGCGAAGGCGGCUCUCUGGUCUGCAACUGACGCUGAGGCUCGAAAGCAUGGGUAGCGAACAGGAUUAGAUACCCUGGUAGUCCAUGCCGU
Molecule: ribosomal RNA, 456 nt
Filed under: uncultured bacterium
Lineage: Bacteria
Description: partial 16S ribosomal RNA
Rfam family: Bacterial small subunit ribosomal RNA
Source: RNAcentral